This 254-nucleotide ribosomal RNA is filed under the name uncultured bacterium. RNAcentral's name for it is "partial 16S ribosomal RNA". It matches the Rfam family "Bacterial small subunit ribosomal RNA", at positions 524 to 776 of the family's 1533-position model. The record is from RNAcentral.
UACGAAGGGUGCAAACGUUGCUCGGAAUUAUUGGGGCGUAAAGCGCACGUAGGCGGCUUUGCAAGUCGGAUGUGAAAUCCCUCGGCUUAACCAAGGAAGUGCAUCCGAAACUGCAGAGCUUGAGUACUUAAGAGGAUCGCGGAAUUCCCGGUGUAGAGGUGAAAUUCGUAGAUAUCGGGAGGAACACCGGUGGCGAAGGCGGCGACCUGGGUCGAGACUGACGCUGAGGCGCGAAAGCGUGGGGAGCGAACAGG